This 517-nucleotide ribosomal RNA is filed under the name Neocenchrea heidemanni. Its description in RNAcentral is "SSU rRNA". It matches the Rfam family "Eukaryotic small subunit ribosomal RNA", at positions 147 to 635 of the family's 1831-position model. Lineage: Eukaryota; Metazoa; Arthropoda; Insecta; Hemiptera; Derbidae. The record is from RNAcentral.
CUUGUGUAAUUCUAGAGCUAAUACAUGCAAACAGAGCCCCGACCAGAAAUGGAAGGGACGCUUUUAUUAGAUCAAAACCAAUCGACGUCCGUUCGCCUUCGGCGUGCGGUGUCGUACUACUUGAUGACUCUGAAUAACUUUUGGCUGAUCGCACGGUCUCCGAACCGGCGACGCAUCCUUCAAAUGUCUGACUUAUCAACUGUCGAUGGUAGGUUCUGCGCCUACCAUGGUUGUAACGGGUAACGGGGAAUCAGGGUUCGAUUCCGGAGAGGGAGCCUGAGAAACGGCUACCACAUCCAAGGAAGGCAGCAGGCGCGCAAAUUACCCACUCCCGGCACGGGGAGGUAGUGACGAAAAAUAACGAUACGGGACUCAUCCGAGGCCCCGUAAUCGGAAUGAGUAUACUCUAAAUCCUUAUACGAGUAUCAAUUGGAGGGCAAGUCUGGUGCCAGCAGCUGCGGUAAUUCCAGCUCCAAUAGCGUAUAUUAAAGUUGUUGCGGUUAAAAAGCUCGUAUGG